This 381-nucleotide ribosomal RNA is filed under the name Triticum aestivum (bread wheat). RNAcentral's name for it is "partial small subunit ribosomal RNA". The record is from RNAcentral. Lineage: Eukaryota; Viridiplantae; Streptophyta; Magnoliopsida; Poales; Poaceae.
AUGGUGGCGGCCACGUACGGCAGCGGGCGAGUCGUCUUGCUGCUGUUCGGGCGCACCGGCUGGGUCGAUGUAGCUCGUCGGCCUGGCGACGACGACUUCACCCCACGCAGUGGCAAAGGAAAGAAGCGGCAGCCGCAGCGGGAACCAGGUGCUCAAGGCCCACUGCCGCGGGAUGCCGUGGAAGGGAGCCGCGGCAGCCGCGCGAGGGCGCAUCUACGUCGCCGGCGGUCAUGUAGCGGAGGUUGUCCAUCUCGACGCACUCGACGGCUACAGGGAAGACGGCUACGAGAGCGCCCGAUAGGAAGGGGGCGGCGAGCAGCUUUGGCCAGGCCGCGGCAGCGGUAUUUGGGCGCGCGGGUACACCGCCGGCGACGACGUUAG